GCCUGGAGAGCUCAGUUGGUUAGAGCAUGGUGCUGAUCCCGCCAAGGUUGCAGUUUUGAUCCCCUUAUGGGGCA
Molecule: non-coding RNA, 74 nt
Organism: Podarcis lilfordi (Lilford's wall lizard)
Lineage: Eukaryota; Metazoa; Chordata; Lepidosauria; Squamata; Lacertidae
Source: the annotation of a GenBank genome assembly